Molecule: small RNA, 598 nt
Filed under: Pan troglodytes (chimpanzee)
Lineage: Eukaryota; Metazoa; Chordata; Mammalia; Primates; Hominidae
Description: retained intron
Source: RNAcentral
GAGUUUAUGUGGCUCGGAGCUGAUUCCCUGAAGGAUUUAUGGCUCUGUAUUAAAUGCCACAGCCUUAUCUUUUAAAACAUGCUGCUCUAAUGCUGAGUUUUCCUCUUUUUUUCUUUUCUUUCUUUUUUUUUUUUGUUACUGAUUUUAGAAACAGUAUUAAGCACCUUGUUGUUUUGUUUCUGUUUUCAAGGAAUGCAGAUUCUACUAAGAUCUCCUUGCAAAAUGAAUGCAUUUAAUUUUCCCUAUGUGUUUUUCCUCUGCAGGUAGUUUUCCCAAGAGUGGCUCAGGUUUGUAAGAAUGAUAUGGGAGGAUCUCAAAGAGUCCUGGAGAAACAGUGGACGUCGUUCCUGAAGGCGCGCUUGAACUGCUCAGUUCCUGGAGACUCUCAUUUUUAUUUCAACAUUCUCCAGGCAGUUACAGAUGUGAUUCGUAUCAACGGGCGUGAUGUUGUCCUGGCAACGUUUUCUACACCUUAUAACAGCAUCCCUGGGUCUGCAGUCUGUGCCUAUGACAUGCUUGACAUUGCCAGUGUUUUUACUGGGAGAUUCAAGGAACAGAAGUCUCCUGAUUCCACCUGGACACCAGUUCCUGAUGAACG